CUUAUAUUAACAUGGCAAACCUUUUACCCAAGAAGAAAUAUACAUAAAAGACUGAUUUCAAUCAUCCUGGAAAUAGACACAGAAGAAACAAAUUUAUUACAAAAUCCCGCUCUUUUAUUCCUCAUCUAUACCUUUUACGCCAUUUUGUUUUUUUGGGGAUUUCACUUUAUCUUUAUUUACUCUUGACUUGUUUCUGUCACAGUAAAUGGAAC
Non-coding RNA from Pelobates cultripes (western spadefoot toad), 212 nucleotides. The record is from the annotation of a GenBank genome assembly. Lineage: Eukaryota; Metazoa; Chordata; Amphibia; Anura; Pelobatidae.